RNAcentral lists this ribosomal RNA (466 nucleotides) under uncultured bacterium. RNAcentral describes it as "partial 16S ribosomal RNA". It matches the Rfam family "Bacterial small subunit ribosomal RNA", at positions 28 to 506 of the family's 1533-position model. The record is from RNAcentral.
GAUGAACGCUGGCGGCGUGCUUAACACAUGCAAGUCGAACGAUGAAGCCCAGCUUGCUGGGUGGAUUAGUGGCGAACGGGUGAGCAACACGUGAGCAACCUGCCCCUGACUCUGGGAUAAGCGCUGGAAACGGCGUCUAAUACUGGAUAUGUCCCGUCACCGCAUGGUGUGCGGGUGGAAAGAUUUUUCGGUUGGGGAUGGGCUCGCGGCCUAUCAGCUUGUUGGUGAGGUAAUGGCUCACCAAGGCGUCGACGGGUAGCCGGCCUGAGAGGGUGACCGGCCACACUGGGACUGAGACACGGCCCAGACGCCUACGGGAGGCAGCAGUGGGGAAUAUUGCACAAUGGGCGGAAGCCUGAUGCAGCAACGCCGCGUGAGGGAUGACGGCCUUCGGGUUGUAAACCUCUUUUAGCAGGGAAGAAGCGAAAGUGACGGUACCUGCAGAAAAAGCACCGGCGAACUACGU